This 73-nucleotide transfer RNA is filed under the name Streptomyces phage JustBecause. RNAcentral's name for it is "tRNA-Gln". It matches the Rfam family "tRNA". Rfam says of the family: Transfer RNA (tRNA) molecules are approximately 80 nucleotides in length. Their secondary structure includes four short double-helical elements and three loops (D, anti-codon, and T loops). RNAcentral also lists the same sequence under 1 other name. Lineage: Duplodnaviria; Heunggongvirae; Uroviricota; Caudoviricetes. The record is from RNAcentral.
UCGCCCGUAGUUUAACUGGCAAAACUCCGGCCUCUGGAGUCGGCGUUCUUGGUUCAAAUCCAGGCGGGCGAGC